Molecule: long non-coding RNA, 3811 nt
Filed under: Homo sapiens (human)
Lineage: Eukaryota; Metazoa; Chordata; Mammalia; Primates; Hominidae
Description: HSALNT0143807
Source: RNAcentral
GUUUGAACCCAGGAGGCAGAGGUUGCAAUGAGCCAAGAUCACACCACUGCACUCCAGCCUGGGUGACAGAGUGAGACUCCGUCAAACAACAACAACAAAAAACAAACAAACAAACAAACAAAAACUACAAAUGUAGGCAAGUAACCAGCAUAAUUGUCCCCAUUUCACACAUAAGGAGAAAUGUGGCUCAGAGAAUCUGUGUGAUUUCCCCAAAGUCACGUUAAGUAGAGGCUCAGGGUCAAAACCACCCCCAGUCCAGUGAUUUGUCCACUCCUCUCUACUCAGAGGUUUCACACACCAUCAAGUAAAGGCUUCUGUUUAAAAAAAAAGAAAAGAAAAGUACAACAUUCUAAAGGAAACUCUAGUUGUUCCUAAAAAUUGCCAGGCAAUAAUGCUAUGACUAUUUAACUUAUUGUUAUUAUUAAUAAAGUGCAUCUAGAUUAUCCUACCUAAAUUUUGGCCUUUACUCUCCAUGGAAGGUGUUUAACUAGAGAUAAAAUAUAAUGUAUUUUGAAGUGCAUGGUAUUUCGCUGAGGAGAGACUUGGGUUCAAAUACCAGCUUUGCUAUUUACUAGCUUUAUGACUAAGGCCAAGUUACUCAGUCCCUUUGAAUCUGAGUUUUCUUAUCUUUAAUAUAGAAAUUAUAAUAAAUUCAUCACAGAAAUAUGGCAAGGAGUAAACAAAACUGCAUGUGAAAAGUGUUUAACAGGGUGUACUUGAUGCAUAGUAGUGCUCAAAGAAUGUCAAAAUCUAGGGAGACAAACUCUUUAACAUCUUGUCUGCUAACAGUGAUCAAGCUACCCACAAGUUCUUUCAUAGAGAGAUUUCAUUCAGGCUGUAGCCCCACUAGGGUACUACUCUUCGCAUAAUACCUUACACUUUGUGAAGAAGGUACACACACUGUCACAAUUAAGGAAUCAAAUCACUGUCUUCAGGUUUCAACCAUUUGCCAGAAAUCACGUUAGCUUUUGAAUCCACUAGCAAAAGAUAAAGGAUUCCCUUCUUUUCCUUAUUAACAGAAUUCAAAUAAAACAUGUCCUAAGCAUCUGAAAUAAGCCCCAAUAUUGGGAGAGCACUAGAUGUCAGUUACAAUUUCUUGAGUAGCUGCUAAGUUCCAGUCUCACUGUAAGGCACUUCCACCCAUUAAAAGACAUUAGCACAUUUGAGCCUUGCAAACAACUUAACAGGUAAGCUGUGGAAAUAUAAUAUUCUCUUCAUUUUACAAGUGAGGGAACUGAGACUCAGAGUUGCCCAUCAUUGCUUAGCUCCCGAAAGCAGCAGAACAAGAUUCUGACUCCAAUGCUCUUCCCGCCUCCUUUAGGGCAAGGGCUCACUGCCUACGACUCCCAAGUCACCAUCAAGUUGACAUCCAACAGAAAGUGCCCCAAGAGUGUGCACGGGUGGCUGUGAGUGGGAGGUGCCUGACUCACCACCACUGACUCACCAUCAGGAGGGAUCUGCUGCACUGGUCCUUUGCACUCUUAUUCUCACCUUUUGAAAUAGGAUGGCAUCUUACUUGGUUUAGAUUUAAGUCAGUAUCUACUUACCAAGUAGCCUGAUUCAUUUCAGAAUUUCAGAUUUGUACUAUGUUUCCCAGAAAGCCAUUUGAAACUGUAGCUUUUCUUUGUGUGAGUUUUAUUGUUCUACAAAAGGAAAAUCUGCUUUUUCAUGAUUGCUCACUAUUUAUGAAGUCAACACUAUUUGGCAGUCACUGUGCUAAGUUCCAGGUACAGAGCAACUGACUAGACUGAUUCCAUCCCUGCCCUCGUGGAGCUGAUAGUCAGCUGGACAUAACAGACCUAAACACUAAAUUAUAAAAGUGAUUACACAGUAAAAACUCUGAUGACUGCCACAAAGGGGAAGUCCAGACUGCAAUAAGAGGUUAUAUUAGGGGACAUACCACAGUCUUGGGGUCAGGGAGGGCUUCCCUGAGAAAGUGCUAUUUAAGGAGAAAGCAGAAGGAUGAGCACAAAUUAGCCAAUCUAAUGGAGGGGUAAUGAUACUCCCAGCAAAGGAAACAGCACUUGCAAAAUCCCUGGGGCAGGAAGAAGAGUAACACAUUUAAGGAACUGAGAGGUUAGUGUGGCUAAAGAGCAGAGACCCAAAGUGGAAACGAUGUAAGAAUGGAGGAACAGGAGUAUAGCAAUGCUUUCCAAAGCACUAACUGGCGAUGGCAUCAGCCAUUGUGAAUGCAUACAGUCAGCCCAAUGCAAAUGCCAGUUAAUCUCUCUUGACAUUUAUGGAAAUUAGACCUGAACCAAUGAAAAGUUCGAUAGCUAAUUUUUCUUUCUUCUUCUCUUCCUCUUCCACCUUCUAUUUUUUUCUUGAUGAUUAUAUUACUUUCUAAGUAUGAGAGGGGAAGUAGACAGAAAGAAUCUCUGAAGAAACUGUUUACAUUACACAUCUCAUGCACUGUGUGUAGGGAAACAUGGUGUAACUUUAAGCAAACUAACAAGCUUCAGGGUUUUUUGUUCUUCUGCAAAACAGUGCUGAAAAACUGCAGAACACAUUUAAGAUUAAGUGAGGCAAUGUAUACAAUCUGCUACGCACAGUGACUCACUCUAAUAGUUAAAGCAGCACCCUCUUUCCAGGUGAGACAGGAAACUGAAGAGGUGUAUUAGUUAGGCUAGGCUAACUGCUGUAACAAACAAAUCUAUGCAUAGUGGUUCAAACACAAUAGAAGUUGAUUCCCUGCUCGUGUAAUGUCUAAACUGGCUGUUCCGGAGGUGGCCAGCUCUCAUCCACAAAGCAAUCCAGGAACCAGUCUCCUUCUCUCUUAGUGCUGCACCCUGUUACUCCACAUCAGGCUGGAGGAAAGGUAAAACAUGGAGGAGUGUGUAUGAACGAGGCCUAAAAGUGAAAAUAUUACUUCUCUUGUAGAUCUCCAUUACACAAUCUCACCUAACUACCAGGAAAUAAAGUCCAGUGGAGUGGAAAAAGAAGGAGCGAGUGUAAGUGGUUAGCCAGCAGUCUUGGCCACCACGCAUAAAGUUUUCACAUCAUCUGUCCCCUUUAUCAGGACUAUCUUCUAAGGCCAAGGAACAAAAAUAAAUGAGGGCAGAGUAUUCCUCAGAUUAGAAGAAAAUAGCUUUGCCAAGUUGAUCUACUUUGGGACAGAGGAUGAGGAACUACAGCCCAUGGGCCAAAUGUCACUCUGACCCAUCCAUUGUUUUUGUCAAUAAAGUUUUAUUGGAAUACAGCCUCAUUCAUUCAUUUACAUAUUAUCUAUGACUGUUUUCUCUAUAAUGGCAGAGUGGAGCAGGAAGGACAGUGGCUCAGUAUCCAGUAAAGAUGAAAAUAUUUACUAUUUCUGUCUUUAUCAAAAAAGAAGGAAAGAAAGAAUGAAAGAAAGGAAGGAAGGAAAGGGAAGGGAAGGAAGGAAGGAAGGAAGGGGAAGAAAGAAAGAAAGGAAGGAAAGAAAGAAAGAAAGAAAGAAAGAAAGAAAGAAAGAAAGAAAGAAAGAAAGAAAGAAGAAAGAAAGAGAGAAAGAAAGAAAGAAAGAAAGAAAGAAAGAAAGAAAGAAAGAAAGAAAGAAAGAAAGAAAGAAAAAAAGAUAAAGACAAUGGCCAACCUCUGAUUUACAAUGUGUUUGCUAUUUUGUCAAGAGAUGAUUUACACAUCCUAUUUUCUUUUCCGGAUCUCCAAGAUGAAGUGGUGUACAAUUGCAAGAAUGACUAAAAGAAGGAGGAGCAUAUACUCUGCAGUUCUAACAGUCUGGGGACCACCUUUUACUAAAUUCCUUCCAUCCUUCUUUAUAAUAGUGAUUGAUGUUAUGUGGCAGGCAGUGGAGAAAUGUAACUGGUUUUCAACU